Molecule: long non-coding RNA, 1240 nt
Filed under: Salvator merianae (Argentine black and white tegu)
Lineage: Eukaryota; Metazoa; Chordata; Lepidosauria; Squamata; Teiidae
Description: lncRNA (ENSSMRG00000003569.1)
Source: RNAcentral
GAGGAGGUGUUGCAUUGUAUGUAAGGAAAGUAUAUACCACCACAGAAAUUAAUCUUUCAGAUAAUGGAAGCCCUGUAGAAACCGUUUGGGUGAAAAUACAAGGAGAGAGCAAUACAAAGGAUACUGUUGUAGGAGUUUAUUAUAGACCCCCUGGACAAACAGAAGAUAUGGAUGAACUAUUUAUACAUCAGAUGNCCAAGCUCUCGGGGAAACACGACCUAGUGAUUAUGGGAGAUUUUAACUAUCCGGACAUUUGUUGGGAAUCUCUCUCUGGCAAAAGUCACGGGUCCAAUAAAUUCUUAUCCUCUCUGGCAGAUAACUUCAUUUUCCAAAGGAUGGAGGAAAAAACAAGGGGGUCUGCUAUCUUGGACCUAAUCCUUACUAACAGGGAGGAAAUUGUUGAGGAAGUAAGGGUGACUGGGACCCUGGGUGGCAGUGACCAUGCUAUCAUUGAGUUUUGGAUAUCGAAGGGAGGAAGAUCUGAGAGGACUCAGACUUCAAGGUUAGACUUCAGAGGAGCAGAUUUUGAUGGACUCAGAAGGAGGGUAGGAAGGAUCCANUGGCUGGAUGUCUUAAAGGACAGAAAUGUUCAGGAAGGAUGGGAAAUUUUGAGAAAGGAGAUUCUAGAGGCACAAUCUUUAACAAUUCCUAAAAGAAGAAAGAAUGGCAAGCAUCUAAAGAGACCAGGGUGGAUGAACCCUGAACUUAAUCACUUGCUAAAAAGAAAAAAAGAAAUGUUUAAAAAAUGGAAAGAGGGGGACAUAUCAAAAGAAGAAUAUAAUGCAAUCUGCAGGAACUGCAGGAUAAGUGUCAGAAAGGCUAAAGCUAAAAAUGAAUUGAGGAUUGCAAGAGAGGCCAAAAACAAUAAAAAAGGGUUUUGGGGGUAUGUCAGAAGCAAAAGAAAAGUCAAAGAAGCUAUAGGACCUUUACAGGAUGAGAAGGGUGAUUUGGUCAAAAAUGACAUUCAGAAGGCAGAACUUCUGAACUCCUAUUUUGCAUCUGUUUUCUCUCAGAAAGGAAAUGAAACAUCAGUUGGCCUUCACUGUGCUGUUGAGGGAAUAAGAGAAUCAAGGCUCUGUAUGGACAAGGAGAAGGUGAGGGAACACUUAGCAAACUUAAAUGUAUUCAAGUCUCCAGGUCCAGAUGAAUUACAUCCUAGGGUGCUGAAGGAAUUAUCUGAUAUAAUUGCUGAACCACUCUCUGUGAUAUUUGAGAACUCAUGGAAAACAGGAGAAGUCCC